UAUUGGUCAAUGGGCGAGAGCCUGAACCAGCCAUCCCGCGUGCAGGAUGACGGCCCUAUGGGUUGUAAACUGCUUUUCUGCGCCAAGAAACCUGUCAACGAGUUGACAGCUGACGGUAGCGCAGGAAUAAGCACCGGCUAACUCCGUGCCAGCAGCCGCGGUAAUACGGAGGGUGCAAGCGUUAUCCGGAUUCAUUGGGUUUAAAGGGUGCGCAGGUGGGAAUGUAAGUCAGGGGUGAAAGUCUGCGGCUCAACCGUAGGACUGCCCUUGAUACUGGUGGCCUUGAGUUGUGGUGAAGCAGCCAGAAUAUGUGGUGUAGCGGUGAAAUGCAUAGAUAUCACAUGGAAUACCGAUUGCGAAGGCAGGCUGCUAACCAUAUACUGACGCUGAUGGACGAAAGCGUGGGUAGCGAACA
This 415-nucleotide ribosomal RNA is filed under the name uncultured bacterium. RNAcentral's name for it is "bacterial SSU rRNA". It matches the Rfam family "Bacterial small subunit ribosomal RNA", at positions 362 to 774 of the family's 1533-position model. The record is from RNAcentral.